Molecule: ribosomal RNA, 231 nt
Filed under: Triticum aestivum (bread wheat)
Lineage: Eukaryota; Viridiplantae; Streptophyta; Magnoliopsida; Poales; Poaceae
Description: partial small subunit ribosomal RNA
Source: RNAcentral
AUGGCGCUCACCAGCGCGGCACCGGAGACGGCAGGGGGCGAGGAGGAGGGAGCGACGUCCUGGGGCAGCGCGGCGAGGCGAAGGCCGGCGGCGGCGUUGGGGCAAGGAUCUCCUGUUCAUCACGGGCAGAGGUGCUCCAGCAGGGCCGAGGCGGCGGCAGGGGAGGACCCCGGCGAAGCGCAGCCUCAUCCGGCGGCGGCGGUGGGCUCCGGAGGCCAGCUGGAGGUGUAG